RNAcentral lists this unclassified non-coding RNA (140 nucleotides) under uncultured Mortierellomycotina. RNAcentral describes it as "sequence contains ITS1". The record is from RNAcentral. Lineage: Eukaryota; Fungi; Mortierellomycota.
CAAUAAAAGUGAUUUUAUAUGGCACUUUUAAAAAAAUCCAUAUCCACCUUGUGUGCAAUGUUUUUUUUUUUUUAUAAUCAACUCUUUAAUUAAACCAAUUGUCUGAAAAACGAUAUUUCUGAAUUACUUAAUUCAAAAUA